Molecule: ribosomal RNA, 734 nt
Filed under: uncultured archaeon
Lineage: Archaea
Description: bacterial SSU rRNA
Rfam family: Archaeal small subunit ribosomal RNA
Source: RNAcentral
UGCGAGUCGAGAGGGUUCGGCCCUCGGCGGACUGCUCAGUAACACGUUUGAUAAUCUGCCCUUAGGUGGAGGAUAACCUCGGGAAACUGAGAAUAAUACUCCAUAGGUCUAGGAUGCUGGAAUGCAUCUAGACUCAAAGAUUUAUCGCCUAAGGAUGAGUCUGCGGACUAUCAGGUUGUAGUCAGGGUAAUGGCCUGACUAGCCUACGACGGAUACGGGUUGUGAGAGCAAUAACCCGGAGACGAUAUCUGAGACACGAUAUCGGGCCCUACGGGGCGCAGCAGGCGCGAAACCUUCACACUGUGCGAAAGCGCGAUGAGGGAAUCCCAAGUGCUUGCUCUUAGGAGUAAGCUGUUUUCCUGUUUAAAGCGCAGGAAGAGGAAGGGCUGGGUAAGACGGGUGCCAGCCGCCGCGGUAAUACCUGCAGCUCGAGUGGUGAUCACUAUUAUUGGGCCUAAAACGUCCGUAGCCGGCUUAGUAAAUGCCUGGGUAAAUAGUACCGCUUAACGGUACUAAUUCCGGGUAGACUGCUAAGCUUGAGACCGGGAGAGGUUAGAGGUACUCCUGGGGUAGAGGUGAAAUUCUGUAAUCCUAGGGGGACCACCAGUGGCGAAGGCGUCUAACUAGAACGGGUCUGACGGUGAGGGACGAAGCCCUGGGGCGCAAACCGGAUUAGAUACCCGGGUAGUCCAGGGUGUAAACGCUGCUUGCUUGAUGUUAGUCGGGCUCCGAGC